RNAcentral lists this ribosomal RNA (484 nucleotides) under uncultured bacterium. RNAcentral's name for it is "partial 16S ribosomal RNA". It matches the Rfam family "Bacterial small subunit ribosomal RNA", at positions 28 to 523 of the family's 1533-position model. The record is from RNAcentral.
GACGAACGCUGGCGGCGUGCUUAACACAUGCAAGUCGAACGAUGAAGCCGGAGCUUGCUCUGGUGAAUUAGUGGCGAACGGGUGAGUAACACGUGAGUAACCUGCCCUUGACUCUGGGAUAACUGCGGGAAACUGUAGCUAAUACCGGAUACGACCCUCGGAGGCAUCUCCUGGGGGUGGAAAGAAUUUCGGUCAAGGAUGGACUCGCGGCCUAUCAGCUAGUUGGUGAGGUAAAGGCUCACCAAGGCGACGACGGGUAGCCGGCCUGAGAGGGGAACCGGCCACACUGGGACUGAGACACGGCCCAGGCUCCUACGGGAGGCAGCAGUGGGGAAUAUUGCACAAUGGGCGCAAGCCUGAUGCAGCAACGCCGCGUGAGGGAUGACGGCCCUCGGGUUGUAAACCUCUUUUAGCAGGGAAGAAGCGAAAGUGACGGUACCUGCAGAAAAAGCACCGGCUAACUACGUGCCAGCAGCCGCCGUAA